RNAcentral lists this ribosomal RNA (164 nucleotides) under Scrophularia incisa. RNAcentral's name for it is "5.8S ribosomal RNA". It matches the Rfam family "5.8S ribosomal RNA". Rfam says of the family: 5.8S ribosomal RNA (5.8S rRNA) is a component of the large subunit of the eukaryotic ribosome. The record is from RNAcentral. Lineage: Eukaryota; Viridiplantae; Streptophyta; Magnoliopsida; Lamiales; Scrophulariaceae.
AUAACGACUCUCGGCAACGGAUAUCUAGGCUCUCGCAUCGAUGAAGAACGUAGCGAAAUGCGAUACUUGGUGCGAAUUGCAGAAUCCCGUGAACCAUCGAGUUUUUGAACGCAAGUUGCGCCCGAAGCCAUUAGGCUGAGGGCACGUCUGCCUGGGCGUCACGC